RNAcentral lists this unclassified non-coding RNA (24 nucleotides) under Mus musculus (house mouse). Its description in RNAcentral is "oocyte_clustered_small_RNA2531". Lineage: Eukaryota; Metazoa; Chordata; Mammalia; Rodentia; Muridae. The record is from RNAcentral.
UCCUGAGUCUCAGUGGUAAGAGCA